CUGGUUGAUCCUGCCAGUAGUCAUAUGCUUGUCUCAAAGAUUAAGCCAUGCAUGUCUGAGUACAGACCGAUCUAAGGUGAAACCGCGAAUGGCUCAUUAAAUCAGUCCUAAUUCCUUGGAUAGUGAAAAAACUUCCUCGGAUAACUGUGGAAAAUCCAGAGCUAAUACGUGCAACUGAGCUCCGACCUGGGCGCGAGCCUAGGGAAGAGCGCAAUUAUUAGAUUCAAAACUGACCGACGUACUCCUCCGGGAUGCGCCGCUUGUCAUACUUGAUGACUCCGGAUAAUUUAGCCGAGCGCUACGGUCUUCGUACCGGCGCCGUAUCUUUCAAGUGUCUGCCUUAUCAGCUUUCGAUUGUAGGUUAAACGCCUACAAUGGCUGUAACGGGUAACGGGGAAUCAGGGUUCGAUUCCGGAGAGGGAGCCUGAGAAACGGCUACCACAUCUAAGGAAGGCAGCAGGCACGCAAAUUACCCACUCCCAGCUCGGGGAGGUAGUGACGAAAAAUAACGAUGCGAGACUCUUCCGAGGCCUCGCAAUCGGAAUGAGUCCAUUCUAAAUCCUUGGACGAGGAUCCAUUGGAGGGCAAGUCUGGUGCCAGCAGCCGCGGUAAUUCCAGCUCCAAUAGCGUAUAUUAAAGUUGUUGCGGUUAAAAAGCUCGUAGUUGGAUCUCCUAGAUCCAACUCAUGGGCGGGUGUCUCGUUGUACGUGCGUUUUUGAGCAGUCGCUCGGAAGGUCGGAGUGCUUUUGCGUUACGUUCCGAAAGGAGUCUCGAAAAUCGUGUCUCUCGUCGCAUUUCGGUGCGUUCGGGGCGUCGCGUUCUCGUGUUCUUCCGCCAGUCGUUUCGUUUAGAGUCCCUUCUUGACGAGAAGGACGUCGAUUACGUGGUCUUCGGGUAUAAGCCCGUCCAAGUGUGGUACGAAUACAAAUUUUGUCGGCUCGCUCGGAGUGCUCUUUAUCGAGUGUUCCAGGGUGGCCGACACGUUCACUUUGAAAAAAUUAGAGUGCUUAAAGCGGGCUGAGAAAUCGCCUGAAUGUUGUUGCAUGGAAUGAAGGAACAGGACCUCGAUUCUGUUAUUUUUGUCGGUUUUAAUGAACCGAGGUAAUGAUUAAAAGGAACAGACGGUGGCAUCAGUAUUGCGACGCUAGAGGUGAAAUUCUUGGACCGUCGCAAGACUAACUACUGCGAAAGCAUUUGCCGAGAAUGUUUUCAUUAAUCAAGAACGAAAGUUAGAGGAUCGAAGGCGAUCAGAUACCGCCCUAGUUCUAACCCUAAACUAUGCUAACUAGCGAUCCGCCGGAGUCAUUCCCACGACUCGGCGGGAAGCCCCCAGGGAAACCAAAGUCUUUGAGUUCCGGGGGAAGUAUGGUUGCAAAGCUGAAACUUAAAGGAAUUGAGGAGGGCACCACCAGGAGUGGAACUGCGGCUUAAUUUGACUCAACACGGGAAACCUCACCAGGCCCGGACAUUAGAAGGAUUGACAGAUUGAGAGCUCUUUCUCGAUUUAAUGGGUGGUGGUGCAUGGCCGUUCUUAGUUGGUGGAGUGAUCUGUCUGGUUGAUUCCGAUAACGAACGAGACUCUACCCUACUAACUAGUCGGCGGAUCGUAACCCUGAGAUGGGAGGAAAUCGAGGGACUUGUUGUUCUCUGGCGUUUUCGGGGCUUUCGCUCUCUCGCGUUGAAGGUAGUUGGUAGUGUUCUUUCGGGAGUGCUUGCUUUCGCCCGGAUCGGGGGUUUGUGGAGUUUCGUGAGACGUCGGCGGGGCGCUUGUUUUUUUCGAUGACUCUUUACUAGGGGCGUCCGUCGCAAUGUAUCUUCUUAGAGGGAUCAGCGGCAUCUAGCCGUACGAGAAAGAGCAAUAACAGGUCUGUGAUGCCCUUAGAUGUUCUGGGCCGCACGCGCGCUACAAUGUAGGAACCAGCGUGUGUUUUCCCUCUCCGAAAGGAGCGGGUAACCCGUUGAAACUCCUACGCGCUUGGGAUUGGGGAUUGCAAAUGUUUCCCAUAAACGAGGAAUUCCCAGUAAGCGCGAAUCAUUAGUUCGCGCUGAUUAAGUCCCUGCCCUUUGUACACACCGCCCGUCGCUACUACCGAUUGAAUGAUUCAGUGAGGGCAUCGGACUGGCGCCUUCGGUUGAAACACACCUUAGGCUGACGGAAAGAUGUCCGAACUUGAUCAUUUAGAGGAAGUAAAAGUCGUAACAAGGUUCCGUAGUGAACCKGCGGAAGGA
RNAcentral lists this ribosomal RNA (2229 nucleotides) under Neojaera sp. 1 MR-2008. RNAcentral describes it as "SSU rRNA". It matches the Rfam family "Eukaryotic small subunit ribosomal RNA". Lineage: Eukaryota; Metazoa; Arthropoda; Malacostraca; Isopoda; Janiridae. The record is from RNAcentral.